RNAcentral lists this ribosomal RNA (541 nucleotides) under uncultured bacterium. RNAcentral describes it as "bacterial SSU rRNA". It matches the Rfam family "Bacterial small subunit ribosomal RNA", at positions 777 to 1317 of the family's 1533-position model. The record is from RNAcentral.
AAUAGAUACCCGGGUAGUCCACGCCGUAAACGUUGGGCGCUAGAUGUGGGGACCUUUCCACGGUUUCCGUGUCGUAGCUAACGCAUUAAGCGCCCCGCCUGGGGAGUACGGCCGCAAGGCUAAAACUCAAAGGAAUUGACGGGGCCCGCACAAGCGGCGGAGCAUGCGGAUUAAUUCGAUGCAACGCGAAGAACCUUACCAAGGCUUGACAUACACGAGAACGGGCCAGAAAUGGUCAACUCUUUGGACACUCGUGAACAGGUGGUGCAUGGUUGUCGUCAGCUCGUGUCGUGAGAUGUUGGGUUAAGUCCCGCAACGAGCGCAACCCUCGUCGCAUGUUGCCAGCACGUUAUGGUGGGGACUCAUGUGAGACUGCCGGGGUCAACUCGGAGGAAGGUGGGGAUGACGUCAAAUCAUCAUGCCCCUUAUGUCUUGGGCUUCACGCAUGCUACAAUGGCCGGUACAAAGGGCUGCGAUGUCGUAAGGCGGAGCGAAUCCCAAAAAGCCGGUCUCAGUUCGGAUUGAGGUCUACAACUCGACC